CAAACGGCCCUUUUCAGGGCCACCAAUAAUAUAAUGUUGAUAUCCU
Molecule: non-coding RNA, 46 nt
Organism: Harpegnathos saltator (Jerdon's jumping ant)
Lineage: Eukaryota; Metazoa; Arthropoda; Insecta; Hymenoptera; Formicidae
Source: Rfam